Molecule: non-coding RNA, 439 nt
Organism: Biomphalaria pfeifferi
Lineage: Eukaryota; Metazoa; Mollusca; Gastropoda; Planorbidae
Source: the annotation of a GenBank genome assembly
AUAUAUAUAUAUAUAUAUAUAUAUUAAGGACAACCUAAUGCUUACACUAAGCAAUAAUAAAAUCUUUACUUUUAAUAAAUUAAAUAACUUAAGGCCACAAAUAAAAAGACCACAUAACGGUUAUAACCUGUUUAUCAAAAGUGCCAUACACAUAUACAGUAUACAUAUUAAUAUCACAGCCAAAUUCUUAAGGCAGAAUGUACAUAUAAGUCUCUAGAUAUAAUUUUAUAAUACAAAUAUCACCCACUACCGACCUUAAAUUACAUUAAUAUUCCACUAUUUUGUCUAAUCUGCAUUUUUGAGGACUACAUAUUUUGUGAUUUAAAAAACACCUGAAAAUUCUUCUAACGGAGACAUUUACAAAAUGAAUAGGAGAAUAAUGUACUGCAAUGCUACCAUUUUUAAACAUACAUGUCGGGGGGGGGGGGGGUAUGCUGAA